Long non-coding RNA from Cinclus cinclus, 358 nucleotides. RefSeq lists it as uncharacterized. The transcript is spliced from 4 exons. NCBI's taxonomy places the organism in Eukaryota, Metazoa, Chordata, Aves, Passeriformes, Cinclidae. The record is from RefSeq and is a predicted model, not a curated record.
GUUGGAGCCCAAAAGUUUCUUUGCCAAUAUAUGUAGGAGUCAGUGACUGAAACGACUUUUGAAGUCAUUCAUCUUGUUGGUGAGGAAACCACUCCUAACCUGUUUCAUGGGAGACUGAAGUCAGCAGGAGGAGGUGUCCUCACAAGCUACAGAUAGCCAUUUGCUCUCACUGGCAUCACUGUUGCUGAACUUCAGUUGCCUUUGCUAUAGAAGCCCAUACCAUCAUAGAGGAGCCUUCUUCAGACCGGAAAAGUUAGGUUUGGAAACCUAAGUUUUGAAAAUGGAAAUACAUGAAAAAUACAUGAAAAUUUGGAAGUCCGCUUUGCUUGCUUUCAAGCAGCUCAUCCUUAAAAUUGCA